UGGGGAAUAUUGGACAAUGGGCGAAAGCCUGAUCCAGCCAUGCCGCAUGAGUGAAGAAGGCCUUUGGGUUGUAAAGCUCUUUUAGUGAGGAAGAUAAUGACGGUACUCACAGAAGAAGUCCUGGCUAACUCCGUGCCAGCAGCCGCGGUCAUAUGGAGAGGGCUAGCGUUAUUCGGAAUUAUUGGGCGUAAAGGGCGCGUAGGCUGGUUAAUAAGUUAAAAGUGAAAUCCCGAGGCUUAACCUUGGAAUUGCUUUUAAAACUAUUAAUCUAGAGAUUGAAAGAGGAUAGAGGAAUUCCUGAUGUAGAGGUAAAAUUCGUAAAUAUUAGGAGGAACACCAGUGGCGAAGGCGUCUAUCUGGUUCAAAUCUGACGCUGAAGCGCGAAGGCGUGGGGAGCAAACA
Molecule: ribosomal RNA, 402 nt
Filed under: uncultured bacterium
Lineage: Bacteria
Description: partial 16S ribosomal RNA
Rfam family: Bacterial small subunit ribosomal RNA
Source: RNAcentral